UAUAUUUCAUUAUCUUAGGAUCGAUCCUGUUUCAUCAGUAAACCAGUUGAAUUGACUGGUACAGUAGGUGGAUUCCACACUUACUCAUCACUGCUUUCUUACAAUGGACUGUCAUUGAGGAGAAGUACGUGGAGUUUGAGUUUCUCUUUGAGACGAUUAUCAGGUGACGGUCAUGUGAUUACGGUAUCAUCAAAAUCAGGUGUUAGUAUCAGUAUCGCGUUAAUAUCAAACGGAAUCAUUGAUUUGAGAUUAAGAGGAGAGAAUGGAUCAGACGAACAUGUAUCAGCAGAUACUCCAUUGGCAAUAAACACAUGGAAUAACAUUUCUAUCAAUAGUAGUAUCAUUAAUGGUGUUAUUAUUAUUAAUUUGUUAAUUAAUGGUGACACUAUUGGUACAGUCAGCACUAAAUAUACAGCUGGUGGUAUAUUUGAACCGUCACUGCCUCUUGGAAUAGG
Molecule: long non-coding RNA, 455 nt
Organism: Amphimedon queenslandica
Lineage: Eukaryota; Metazoa; Porifera; Demospongiae; Haplosclerida; Niphatidae
Exons: 3
Source: RefSeq, a predicted model, not a curated record